Molecule: transfer RNA, 73 nt
Filed under: Zootermopsis nevadensis
Lineage: Eukaryota; Metazoa; Arthropoda; Insecta; Blattodea; Termopsidae
Rfam family: tRNA
About the family: Transfer RNA (tRNA) molecules are approximately 80 nucleotides in length.
Source: Rfam by way of RNAcentral
GCCACGGUGGUGUAGCGGUUAGAACCCUAGACUUGUAAUCCUGGGGUCCCGGGUUCGAUUCCCGGUGGUGCCC